CCUACGGGUGGCAGCAGUGGGGGAUAUUGCACACUGGGGGGAACCCUGCUGCAGCGACGCCGCGUGGGUGAAGGAGUGCUUCGGCAUGUAACGCCCUAUCGGCAGGGAAGAAGCAAGACGGUACCUGACUAAGAAGCCCCGGCUAACUACGUGCCAGCAGCCGCGGUAAUACGUAGGGGGCGGGCGUUAUCCGGAUUCACUGGGUGUAAAGGGAGCGUAGACGGCCAUGCAAUCCAGGGGGGAAAGCCCGGGGCCCAACCCCGGGACUGCCCUUGGAACUGUGCGGCUAGAGUGCGGGAGGGGCAGGCGGAAUGCCUGGUGUAGCGGUGAAAUGCGUAGAUAGCAGGAGGAACACCGGCGGCGAAGGCGGCCUGCUGGACCGCGACUGACGUUGAGGCUCGAAAGCGUGGGGAGCGAACAGGAUUAGAUACCCCUGUAGUC
This 441-nucleotide ribosomal RNA is filed under the name uncultured bacterium. RNAcentral's name for it is "partial 16S ribosomal RNA". It matches the Rfam family "Bacterial small subunit ribosomal RNA", at positions 338 to 795 of the family's 1533-position model. The record is from RNAcentral.